CACACCCGCCCGUCACAUCACGAAAGCCCCGUUGUACUAGAAGCCGGUGAUUCAACCGCAAGGAGAUAGCCGUCCAAGGUAUGACUGGUGAUUGGGGGUG
RNAcentral lists this ribosomal RNA (100 nucleotides) under uncultured bacterium. RNAcentral describes it as "partial 16S ribosomal RNA". The record is from RNAcentral.